This 789-nucleotide ribosomal RNA is filed under the name uncultured bacterium. Its description in RNAcentral is "bacterial SSU rRNA". It matches the Rfam family "Bacterial small subunit ribosomal RNA", at positions 69 to 871 of the family's 1533-position model. The record is from RNAcentral.
UGAUUCUUCGGAUGAAGUCUCUUGUGACUGAGUGGCGGACGGGUGAGUAACGCGUGGGUAACCUGCCUCACACAGGGGGAUAACAGUUGGAAACGACCGCUAAUACCGCAUAACCCGCUGGUGCCGCAUGGCACUGACGGAAAAGAUUUAUCGGUGUGAGAUGGACCCGCGUCUGAUUAGCCAGUUGGCAGGGUAACGGCCUACCAAAGCGACGAUCAGUAGCCGGCCUGAGAGGGUGAACGGCCACAUUGGGACUGAGACACGGCCCAGACUCCUGCGGGAGGCAGCAGUGGGGAAUAUUGCACAAUGGGGGAAACCCUGAUGCAGCGACGCCGCGUGAGUGAAGAAGUAUUUCGGUAUGUAAAGCUCUAUCAGCAGGGAAGAAAAUGACGGUACCUGAUUAAGAAGCCCCGGCUAACUACGUGCCAGCAGCCGCGGUAAUACGUAGGGGGCAAGCGUUAUCCGGAUUUACUGGGUGUAAAGGGAGCGUAGACGGUGAUGCAAGUCAGAAGUGAAAGCCCGGGGCUCAACUCCGGGACUGCUUUUGAAACUGUGUGACUGGAGUGCAGGAGAGGUAAGCGGAAUUCCUGGUGUAGCGGUGAAAUGCGUAGAUAUCAGGAGGAACACCAGUGGCGAAGGCGGCUUACUGGACUGUAACUGACGUUGAGGCUCGAAAGCGUGGGGAGCAAACAGGAUUAGAUACCCUGGUAGUCCACGCCGUANACGAUGAAUAUUAGGUGUCGGGGAGCAAAGCUCUUCGGUNCCGCAGCAAACGCAUUAAAUAUUCCA